Molecule: ribosomal RNA, 497 nt
Filed under: uncultured bacterium
Lineage: Bacteria
Description: partial 16S ribosomal RNA
Rfam family: Bacterial small subunit ribosomal RNA
Source: RNAcentral
GAUGAACGCUGGCGGCGUGCCUAAUACAUGCAAGUCGAGCGAACAGACGAGGAGCUUGCUCCUCUGACGUUAGCGGCGGACGGGUGAGUAACACGUGGAUAACCUACCUAUAAGACUGGGAUAACUUCGGGAAACCGGAGCUAAUACCGGAUAAUAUAUUGAACCGCAUGGUUCAAUAGUGAAAGACGGUUUUGCUGUCACUUAUAGAUGGAUCGGCGCCGCAUUAGCUAGUUGGUAAGGUAACGGCUUACCAAGGCGACGAUGCGUAGCCGACCUGAGAGGGUGAUCGGCCACACUGGAACUGAGACACGGUCCAGACUCCUACGGGAGGCAGCAGUAGGGAAUCUUCCGCAAUGGGCGAAAGCCUGACGGAGCAACGCCGCGUGAGUGAUGAAGGUCUUCGGAUCGUAAAACUCUGUUAUUAGGGAAGAACAAAUGUGUAAGUAACUAUGCACGUCUUGACGGUACCUAAUCAGAAAGCCACGGCUAACUACGUG